AUGGAGGCGGACGGCGCCGCCGCCGCCGCGGCUACAAGGGGGAGGGAGGCAGAGAUCAUGGAGGCCCUCCGCGCCCGCGUCCCCUUCUUCAAGAAGCAGGCCGACUAUUUGACUCUUGAAGGUGUGAGGAGAACAUUGGAGAAGGACAUGGAUUUGAAGAUAAAUUCACUUGAUCCUCAUAAAAAGUUCAUUAGGCAAUGUGUAGACAAGGUGUUUUCUGGUUGUGACAAUGAGAAUACUGAUAAUGCAUCAGAGAGGGCUGAAGCUAAAGUGGAUAACUUAUCAGAAGAUGCCCAACCAAUGUCGGGCUCAAACAAAAUCUCCUCCAGUCCUGAUGAGCAGGGGGCAAGAUCCAGUGAAACCGAUAAAGACCCGGAGGGGUUGAAAAAUCACAGUUCUGGUAGUAAUAUCACCGAAGCUAUGAUAAAGAAAGCUAUUGACAAAAGGGCUUCCUAUUUUAGAGAGAACUCAGAAACUCUUACUCUACUAGGAGUUCGACGGACUUUAGAAGAAGACCUCAAACUUGAGAGGAAAGCUUUGGAUGCUUUUAAGGAUUUUAUUACCAAAGAGUUAGAUAGAGUUUUGCAAGAACCUGAAAAUGGAACAACGGAUCAUAGUAAACAGGAGGCUUGCAAGGAUGCUGGUCAGAAAACAAGUAAAGGCUCUAAAAGAGCUCGUCAAGACUCUGAUACCUCUGAACUAAAUAAUAGUCAUAGUGAGAAGGAAGACAGUGAUGAGGAUAUAAGGCCAAUAAAGAGGGGGGCUGAAAAAGGCAGAUCUCUAAAACAGCAGAAAAAAUUGUCAACUCUCAAGGUUGAAAAGGUUGCAAAAAGAGACUAUAAAAGUGAUAAAGAUCAAGGUCAAAAUUCUGCAGAAGAUAAUCCCCUUUCAUCUGCUGUGAAUGAUAAGAAGGCAGCUCCAGCCCAUGGCAAACGAGUAGAACGUCUUAAGUCAGUAAUAAAAUCUUGUGGAAUGAGUGUGCCACCUUCUGUGUAUCGGAGGGCAAAGCAGGCCCCGGAGAGCAAGCGUGAGGCUUGUUUGAUAAAGGAGUUGGAGGAUAUACUUGAAAAGGAAGGAUUGUCUUCACACCCUUCUGAGAAAGAAAUUAAAGCAGUGAGAAAAAGAAAGGAAAGAGCAAAGGAUCUUGAGGGCAUAGACAUGAGCAAUAUUAUCACGAGUUCUCGUAGGAGAAAUGCAUCUAGUUUUAUACCCCUGCCAGUGCCUAAAAUUGAAGCUGAUAGUGACAGCGAUGAUGAUGAUGGUGAAGAGGAGAAUGUGGAGGGUGGAGAUAAAGGUGACGACGUCGAUGCAGAAGCUGGAGAUGGAUCUGCUGAUGAUGCUGGAAACGGGAGCGAUUGA
RNAcentral lists this ribosomal RNA (1359 nucleotides) under Triticum aestivum (bread wheat). RNAcentral describes it as "partial small subunit ribosomal RNA". The record is from RNAcentral. Lineage: Eukaryota; Viridiplantae; Streptophyta; Magnoliopsida; Poales; Poaceae.